AAAGGAUGGCAUAAAAAAGAUAAUGCGUUAGUGGUUUCUCAUAUUAAUUAGCCGAAGAAUAAAAUUAUAAACAAAGGACUUGCGUCUGGGGGAAUCGUCGCUGAGAAAGAAAACGCGCAUUUUUGUAGUGAAGGAGAGAAGAUGCAGAGAUCAUCGAGCAGUUCUUGGGUGCCUGAUGAGUCCUUUAAGGACACCAACACAAAGUACACAGACAAAGACCAGCAACAACUGCCCACUUACGAUCCUCUUUCCCACGUCGCCAAGAAGGAGAGGUCUCGUCUUAGAUCUGCAGAGAACGCAAUCCAUCUCAUACCUCUUGUUCUUGUUCUCUGUGCCAUCAUCCUAUGGAUCUUCUCCAGCCCAGAGUCAAGGGUUUGAAGUUUGAUGGAAAACCUAUUUUAGCAUCAGUUCCUAGAGUGGUUCGCCAUAGAGCAUGAAGCUAGAACACUUCAAUUCAACAAAAGCAACUGGUUUAUUACAUCUCGCCAAAGGGAUUAGCAUACAAUACAAGCAAAAGCACUACUGCUGGCCUCUUCUGUUAGACUGAUUUAGUUUGUUAAUAUGGAAAAGCAGUUAAAUUUCUUUUUGCACAUUUGACCCAUUGUAUGUAGAAGUUUUAUGAUAUAAAGGGAUUUUUUU
RNAcentral lists this unclassified non-coding RNA (639 nucleotides) under Hevea brasiliensis (rubber tree). Lineage: Eukaryota; Viridiplantae; Streptophyta; Magnoliopsida; Malpighiales; Euphorbiaceae. The record is from RNAcentral.